Molecule: long non-coding RNA, 1019 nt
Organism: Bos taurus (domestic cattle)
Lineage: Eukaryota; Metazoa; Chordata; Mammalia; Artiodactyla; Bovidae
Source: Ensembl
CCCCCAGGGUCAUCCAGGUGACUCCACACCGGGAUUUCUCCCCUUCACCUAUGCUUCCUCGUAAGCCUCAUAGGACCCUUGUAACUGCAGAGGUGUUUAUUCCCCUCCCAGGUAGGGGAGACUGAGGGCCUGAGAAGAGAAGAGCCUGCCAGAUCUCUCACGAUCCCAGCUUGCCGCUGUAAAGAUAAUUCCUGCUCCAAGCGGAAGACAGAGGCUUCUUGUUUGUUUUCCUAACAGUAGUAGAGGCAGGUGUACCUCUCUUAGACCUCUUUGUUGCUAUUUGAAAACGUAUCCUUCCAUAGUGGGGGGCAGGGGUGGGGAAAGAAAUUGUAGCAGAAGAAAUAUUGUGCUGUGUGUUUUCCCUAUGAUCUCUCUGAACACUCCUCACAUCUCUGCUGGAUCAGUGUUAUCCUCUCCUUUUGGGCUCUUCCCCUAUGGCUCAGCUGGAAAUCUUAUGCCGUCUACUCACCUCUCAAGUCUUGACUCCAACGCUGCUAUGCUGUGAGGAAGCCCAAGUCACCCCCCAGAGAAGCCCACAUGGAGAGGAACCGAGGCCCCCAGCCUACAGUUUUCAGACCAUAGCCAGCACUAGCUUGCCAGUUGGAUGGGUGAGCCAUCUUGGAGAUGGCUCCUCGCGCCCCCGGAGCAAAGAUGAGCCCCGCCUACCUUCAGAUCAUAAAGGAAAUAGACCACGAUUGCUAUUAGCUGGUUUUCCUGCACUGCAAUUGAUAAUCAGGACACUUGCCAUUGGCCGGAAGACUAUCACACGGGGACCUCUGACUGCAAAAGAGACUGAGAAAUGAGCGGGCACAUAGAGAGAACACGCAGGGUUUUCUUGGCGUAGAAGGGAAUGGAGUGUAGGCAGCUGACUUUGCUAAACAGGCAUCAGUAACAUUUUAUCAACUUCAUGGUUGACGUGCCCGUCACCUCUAUCACUUGUCUUCACUUAAAAAAUGUGUUUACCCCAGAAAGCAUGCUUUCCACAUGCAAAGAGCAGGCACUCCAUCUGUGUUUAUAAA